Cavia aperea (Brazilian guinea pig) is the source of this 141-nucleotide unclassified non-coding RNA. Its record names the gene 7SK. It matches the Rfam family "7SK RNA". From Rfam's summary of the family: 7SK was discovered as an abundant small nuclear RNA in the mid-70s but a possible function has only recently been suggested. Two independent studies have found that 7SK RNA binds the CDK9/cyclin T complex (known as elongation factor P-TEFb). P-TEFb activates transcription by phosphorylating the C-terminal domain of RNA polymerase II. The record is from Ensembl. Lineage: Eukaryota; Metazoa; Chordata; Mammalia; Rodentia; Caviidae.
UCCCAAAGCUCCAUGUUCAGUCGAAGAGCACAAUCACCCCCAAUAGACCGUUUCUUCAGUCAAGGGUGCGUGAGUAGCUGUGCUCCUCGGCUAUAACCUGCAAAUAAGCUCUCAAAAUAAAAAUUAAGAAAGUGCAAAAGC